UUUUCUGAUGUGGAUUAAGGCUGCCCCAGCUAGAGAAGCCCAAGGUGACCUGGCCUACGUGCCAAACUAUACGACCCAGUGGACUUUUUUUAUGGUAUGAAUUAGGACUGCCCCAGGGAGAGAAGCCCGGGGCAUCCUCACCUGCAUGCCGAUCUAUAUGGCCAGAUUCGUAUCUAAAGUUAUAUGACCGCACAAUAACCAGACCCCAUCUGCACUGAAAUCAUUUAAUGACUUUUUACAUCAUCUUUUCUUUUUUUUCCAGUAAAAAUAAGUCACGUACCCAUGCCUUAUUAGCCCUAACCCUCAACUCAGGGCAGCAGCAGGAGCUCUGACUGCCCGUGGGUCCUGUCCCCACGCACCAGCUCUGCCUGCCCAUGGGUCCUGUCCCCAUGCCAGCGGGGGCAGCAGCAGCGGCAGCAGCAGGAGCUCUGACUGCCCGUGGGUCCUGUCCCCACGCACCAGCUCUGCCUGCCCAUGGGUCCUGUCCCCAUGCCAGCGGGGGCAGCAGCAGCGGCAGCAGCAGGAGCUCUGACUGCCCGUGGGUCCUGUCCCCACGCACCAGCUCUGCCUGCCCAUGGGUCCUGUCCCCAUGCCAGCGGGGGCAGCAGCAGUGGCAGCAGCAGAAGCUCUGCCUGCCCAUGGGUCCUGUCCCCAUGCUAUUCCACACUAUUCUCUAAAUAAAAGAGCACUACUGCCAGAUCUUGAGAGUCUAAGAAAUCUUUCUUUCGACUCCUCGGCUCACCGAUCCCGCAUCAUUUCUGGUGGCCCGUACGGGGACUUGCUUCAUCGGCUUGUGAGCUCGAGUUCUGGUAAGUGCCCUUUUCUUCCUUAUGCCUUUCUCUUUUUCAAGGAUGGAUCUAGAUUCACUGCUCCAUCGGGAACUUUCUCGGACAGCUGUAUGAAUCCACGUUUGCUGCCCAUGGCUACUCUAUGGGGCAAAUUGUGGCAUUCAGCUUGAAGAGAUUCAGUACCUUAAGCCUCAGGGUGAUGGAGAAUGAAUUAAUCCAUUCCUUCCUGCUCUUUUUCAAGGAUGGAUCUAGAUUCACUGCUCCAUCGGGAACUUUCUUGGAUGGCUGUAUGAAUCCACGUUUGCUGCCCAUGGCUACUCUAUGGGGCAAAUUGUGGCAUUCAGCUUGAAGAGAUUCAGUACCUUAAGCCUCAGGGUGAUGGAGAAUGAAUUAAUCCAUUCCUUCCUGACUCUAUCUCUAAUAGACAAAUUUUACGUGGGCGCGGGUCGGCCACUUAAGUCAUUAGGCCGGCCGCCAAUCUCCAAGACUCCCGUGGAAGGUUUCUUUUCCUAAGGCUGGAUUGGGAUCCCUCCCUCUGCCACCUGACCACGCUCUGAACUGCGAGGAAAGUCCCACUCGGGGCUCCAGUUCAAGGGAAGUACCAAACUCUAACCUUUGGUGGAGUAUGGGAACCCCUUCUUGGGAGAAUGGCUCCAGGAUGCAAUUGGGUAGAAUGUCCCCCAGACUGGCGGAAAAUUCCUCACUGUCUUUCUCUUUCUCACUGUCUUUGUCCUUUUCUCUCCUGGGGACCAUACGCCAGGCACCUAUUACUGCCAGGCAGAAUAGGGAAGAUGUUCAAGGGAUGCCCCCAUCAUCCCUUGCUACAGGAACCCCAAUGGGGGGAUUUUCAAGGUAAUGGCUCCCUUUCUCUGGGACCAUACGCCAGGCACCUAUUACUGUCAGGCAGAAUAGGGAAGAUGUUCAAGGGAUGCCCCCAUCAUCCCUUGCUACAGGAACUCCAUUGGGGGGAUUUUCAAGGUAAUGGCUCCUUUUCUUUCUCCUUUUCUCUCCUGGGGACCAUACGCCAGGCACCUAUUACUGUCAGGCAGAAUAGGGAAGAUGUUCAAGGGAUGCCCCCAUCAUCCCUUGCUACAGGAACUCCAUUGGGGGGAUUUUCAAGGUAAUGGCCCCUUUUCUUUCUCCUUUUCUCUCGGGAACCAUUCACCAGGCCUAUGCUGUCAGGCAGAAUAGGCACCAGGCACCUGUUACUGCCAGGCAUAACAGGGAAGGUAUACAAGGGAUGCAAUGCGGGGGGGCGCCCCCAUCACCCCUUGCUAUAGGAACCCCACAGUAGGAACAACGGGUAGGACGCUGCCCUAGGUUCAGGGGGGAUUUUUCAUGGUAAUGGACCCGUUUCUUUUGUCUCUCUUGGAGUUACAAUGGCAAUUUUCAUCUCCUUUUGAGCCUUGUGACUGGGAAACAAAGAAAUCUUUAAAGAGUAAAAGGCUCCACCCCUGGGAGCCCCAACUUUGGGUUUCUGGGCCUGAUCACCCCAGCAACCCUAAGUGGGGGUGCCCUCUCUUGACAGUUGACUCAUUGAGUAUUUUAGUCACCUACUGAGUCGGUUAUGAGGGUAGGAGACCUGUGAUUUAUUCUGUGAACUGUCAUGCUAGCGUAGUGUGCCCCAGUACAGGAACUGUUGUGUGACUCUUAUCUUGAUAACCCUCUGGAAGAGGCCAUGAGGGUGAGGUCUGAUCUCUUCUUUUCCUUUCUUUGUCUGUUUUGCUCACCAUCUCUUCUGUUGUCACCAAGUAGAGGUUAAGUUCAGGCUAGACCUGAGCAGAACCUUGACCUUCUGUAAAAUUGGAAAAAUAAGCCUUUUGCCAGGGAUUUAACUCUCAAACCUGGCUCUGGGAGCCCCAGCCUCCAGCCAGUUCCAGGCCUUUGCCUCCUGCUUCCCUACCUCAACUUUGCUGGCUCAGAGACAAAGUGCCCAGGCUGAGCGGGACUUGACUAAAUCUUAUAACUAUGUCAACACCCGCAAUCGGCCUCUGCACACCCGCAAUCGGCCUCUGCACCCUUUCUCCAGCUGCUGUCAGUCAGACACUGGCUUUACCGCCACGGGGAAGGCUCCUAAGCAUCCCCAGAGACCCACCCUGUGGAUGCGUUCUAACUCCAUCUGGGAGAAAAUUUGAGGGGUUUCUCUGUGCCUUUGUGAUGCAGUUGGACAGGUAGAUCAACCUGGAAUGUAAUUUGAGUUACAAUCCAGUUUCUGGGAAUCAAGAGCAACUGUCCUUAGAAAAUCCUUGCAAGACUGGAAAUACAGCUCUAGAGGCAGUUCAGAUUCCACCUAGUUCCUUUAUCACAGAAAGGAUUAUCAUCUCCCCUCUCCAGGAACUACUAUCUAGCCCAUCACUAAUUCCUAAGACUGAAAAAAAAAAAAAAAAGAAAGAAAGAAAGAGGAGGGGAGAGGCAAAACGGCCAUAAGCGUGCCCUUGCAAAAAAUCUAGCAUCUUGAGUAUCUUCUCCACAAAUAUUGGUAAAAAACAAUAGCUCUAACAAUAGCUGUGCAGUCUCUGUGUACGUGUGUCUAUGUGUACGUUAUAUGUGUGAUAUUUUACCUCCGGAUGGUGUUACCAAAAUUAAGAGCUCUGUUUAAUUGGCUUCAAGUAAGCGCUUACAUAAAUUCUAAAUGUAGUAGAAAUUAAUCCAAUGUCUUUCAAGUUAACUUGAUGUGAAUUAACUUUUGGCAAAUGAAAGCUUGUUUAAGUUUGUUGGUUUGAUUGAAAAUAGUCUUCUUGUCAGAGUUGUCAGUAUUUGCAUAUGAUGCAGGCAUGCAGCCUGGGUUUACUAGUCAAAUAAGUUCACAUUGUCUGUUAAAUUCGUCAGCAAAAUAAUAGCUUUAAAGGAUGACCAGUUUUGUCUAAUGUCUCAUGAAGUUUUUGUGGGUACAAUAACUGUUUUAUGGUCUGUAUACUUGAAAAAAAAAAAAAAAAAGCUUCCAAAUUGUUUUGAUAACAAUCUUGAGUUUUGCCAAGUUAAGUUAAAUGAUAAAAAUCUGAGCAUCUGGGUCAUUUUUGGAUUGGAUAGCACACAAGCAUUACAGCUAAACUUAUCUAAGUUAUCUACUUUUGGCUUCUUAUUGCAGAGAGGCUAAAAGUCUUUGGGUCUGUUAUUGUAAAGCAGCGUGUUUCUAGAAAUUAUGAAGUGUUUAGAAUGCUGGUAUAAAAGACAAUUCAUAAUUGCUUACCUUUUUAGUGUUUACUAUGGUCUGUUAAGGGUUAAAAGUUCUUAUUAACCUGUAUAAUUAAAGCUACUGGAAAUUAAUAAGGAAAACAGCUCUGUAUCUAAGGAAAGUUAAAAUGUAUGUUUUCAGUAAAGAGGGUAUAAAGAAUGGAAGUAUUUUUGUUUGAUGGGUUAAGAAAGAUAAGUUUGCCCUAAAGUACUAGAAAGGAAAAAAGACAGACUUUGGGACAAGUUCUGAAGGCAAAAAGAAAGUUGUAGAAGGUUUGUGAAGGAGAAAUUCUGAAAGGAGUUUUAUGCCUGGUCAAGUAGACUAAAAUUAGAGUAAAUCCAAUUAAGUGAAUGAGUUUUAAUGUUAAAAAUAAGCUGGUACAGAAAUUAAAAUUUGGUUUCCUCUCAAAGCAUAAUUUUCUUGAACUUUUGGCCUGCUCUAAUAGAGUUAGAACAACAUAGACAGAAAAUCUAUGUUUUGUUAAAAUAAUUUCCUAUAUUCAGAAAGAAAUAGGUCUCUUCUAAAAUUUUUUGACGAUGUUGUUUGCUCUUGACUGUCUCUGUUGUCACUUUGAAUGGAUGCCUGAGCAUUGUUUAACAGUGAUCAUUGUUUCCUAUUUGAACAAGCAUUUUAAAAACUUUUGAUAUUUUUGACAAGCUUCUCCCUCAAAAAAAAUAUUCAAAUCCUGAAUGAAGGCUUUCUUUUGACCUGGUAGAUGGAAGAAGAAUUUCUCUGAGGAUUUUCAGAGGGCCCCUGAGACUUCUCAAAGAAAUUUGCUCUCUUCCUAUAAGGAGGAAAAAUACUAAAUUAAUUAGGUUUAUUUGGUUUAUUAAAUUACAUGGGAAGCAUUGUCAAAUAAGCGAUGAUAAACUUUCUUAUGUGGUAUUACGUGGGUGAAUGUUAUUAAUAUACGUGUCUUAACAUUAUAUAGCAUUCCUAAAAUUCUAAUCUGUUCUGGUUAUCAGUCAUAAUUCCAGUUAUUAUCUUAAAGUGUUAUAUGUCACAGAAAUAGCCAAGUUUCUUUGUCAGUUGCCCUUUUGAGUCUUUUGUCCAUUUGCAGAUAGUUGUUUUACUGUGAUACUUUUUGCUUUUGCAAAUGUUUCGUCUUCAGAGAAAUUCCUGGAAAGGAUUAUGACAAAGGUUCUAAACUAUAGGUUUCUGAUAAACUUUCAGAUUGUAAAACUGAACCGGGUAAGAAAUUACAGAAUUCUAACAGAAACUAAGCUCAUAGACCUGCUAACAGAAGAUUAAGCUCAAGAACUGAUUAUACAGGACUGUGUGAACUGAUGAGGAUGAUUAUAAUUUUUUAUGACUUCUGUUUGAAAUAUUGCUGAGUUUUGAUGUUUUGUUUUGUUUCCUCAUGUUUAAGGAAAUCUUUCUUUCUUUUCUCUUAUGCUAACUAUGACUUACAGCAAUUUAGUGACAUAUAUCUUUAUAAGCAAAACUGAAACAUUUGUCUUUUUCUCCCGACCUGAUCCCUCCAGAAUUUGGAAACUCUUUGUGAGUACGGUUAUUUCGUGGCAAUAUAGUUAUUUGCAUAAGUUCAAUAAGAAUUUGGUCUCCUUAUAACAGGACACAUUGGUUAUCUUACCAAGGCUUUGACUGGAAUGUCAUAUUUGAGAGAAACAUACAGGCUCAGAUAUGACAACACAGCUUUUCAGGAACAAAGAUUGGACAUUCUGGAAUACAGCCACUUGGAAACAUGGGCCUGGUACCUUGUUUACAGAGAUUCUGGCAAUCUUACCCGGUAAGUAAGGAAGCUUGCUUAUCUGGCAGGUGCAAGGAACCUCAGAAUAUUUUGGGGGACCUCGAGAAGAGAGGAGUCCACCCAAACCUGUAGGUACUGCAGGCAAAAUCUGAUGGCAAGUCCUUGGCUUGGCUUUUCUGGCCUCGAGAGGCCUUUACAGUUCAAUCUGAGAUUCUUCAUAAAAAUUCCAGCAAAGCAGAUUUAAAAAGCCUGUAUAAUCAAUUGGUAUUCUUGCUGCACUUAUGUAAAUAAUUGGCAGACCAGUUAAUCUUAAUUUGGCUAUCUUUUAUAAAAAUGAGGGUGAUUUUAGGGAGAAAAAAAUUAUGUUUCAGUAGAAGGUAUAGUACACAUUCAUGGAUAUUAGAUUCUAGCUCUUCUGCAAGAUUCAUCUGUUACUAAUCAUAAUGUUUCCUUGUGGCCAUCCAUCUCUGAUACCUGGGAGUUCCCUGGCCACAAGCAAACCUUUUCCUUCAACACUACUGCCCAAAUACUAACUAGAUUUGCCUUGUCACAGGUGGAUCAUAAACGACAAGUUCCAAAGGUAAAGUCCCCAAUUUAUUGAUACACACAGGAUGGACUAUAUCAAAUUUGGGACGAAUAUAUUUGGCUCACUCCUGCUAGUGAUCAACUCAGUAAAAGUCCACUCUAUGUUGGGAACAAACCAAUCACACCUGUGAUACAUGGCCUAAUAGCACCCGACCUAUGGGAAAAUUCCCUGUCAUAUGUGUUCUCAUAUCAUAACCUUAAAAAAUACUGAUUGGUUUGAGACUGACUGGGAUAGACGACCAAGCACACGUUGGUUAGCCCCUAAUGGCACUCAGUGGCUAUGUGGCUCCAACUUAUGGCCUUGGCUGCCACCUGGAUGGAUUGGACGAUGCACCCUAGGCUUUGUCUGGAUGCAAGGUAGAACUACAUUUACUAUAUCUCCUCCUGCUAACCUACCCAACCUGCAACAGCGCUGGACCCGCUCUGUCUUCCACUGGUAUGACCACGUUGCCUCAAUUUUCCUUCCCCAGUUAGGAAUCGAAAGUGUCAUCUGGCCCAUGGAAGCUCUAAACAAAUUUACUAUGAAAGCAUUAAAAUGAUACACAACAUAGCCUUUCGCUGCUCGAUUUAGAAGUGUCCCAAAUGCGUAAGGCAGUCCUCCAAAACUGAAUGGCACUGGAUGUCUUGACAGCAGCACAGGGGGGCACCUGCGCCAUUAUAAAAACUGAAUGUUGUGUCUAUAUUCCUGACUACCAUCAAAAUAUCUCCGGCUUCCUGUCUGAUAUGAGCCACCAAAUUAAGUCCAUGUCUGACCCUCCCCUAUCUCUAAAUGACUGGUUGAACUCCUGGUCAGGACCAGGUUUCUGGACUGCUACCAAAACCUUAUUCAUUGGGUUAAUCAUACUGCUUAUAUUUCUUAUUAUAAUUUGUUGUCUGUUUCGUUGUUUGUCUUCCGCAUGUCAACAAAGUUUCACCUCCUGGACCACCUCUCGUCAACUGAUUCUCUCGUCCCCAGAGGCUCUGGAUGCCUUGUCAGCCUUGGACUCCACGGGUGCAGCCUUCCGGUCCACUGAACUUCCUACCUAUACCUAUGGCCCCAUUUAGGGACAGCUCUACGACCUUGUACAGCCGGAAGUAGUUACAGAAGACUGACCGUCGUCCAUAUCCCCAAAAGAUUUUGGGGCCAAAUGGGUUCAGGGGGGGUUUAUGAUGUGGAUUAAGGCUGCCCCAGCUAGAGAAGCCCAAGGUGACCUGGCCUACGUGCCAAACUAUACGACCCAGUGGACUUUUUUUAUGGUAUGAAUUAGGACUGCCCCAGGGAGAGAAGCCCGGGGCAUCCUCACCUGCAUGCCGAUCUAUAUGGCCAGAUUCGUAUCUAAAGUUAUAUGACCGCACAAUAACCAGACCCCAUCUGCACUGAAAUCAUUUAAUGACUUUUUACAUCAUCUUUUCUUUUUUUUCCAGUAAAAAUAAGUCACGUACCCAUGCCUUAUUAGCCCUAACCCUCAACUCAGGGCAGCAGCAGGAGCUCUGACUGCCCGUGGGUCCUGUCCCCACGC
RNAcentral lists this long non-coding RNA (7755 nucleotides) under Equus caballus (horse). RNAcentral describes it as "lncRNA (ENSECAG00000048408.1)". Lineage: Eukaryota; Metazoa; Chordata; Mammalia; Perissodactyla; Equidae. The record is from RNAcentral.